RNAcentral lists this ribosomal RNA (406 nucleotides) under uncultured bacterium. RNAcentral describes it as "partial 16S ribosomal RNA". It matches the Rfam family "Bacterial small subunit ribosomal RNA", at positions 30 to 526 of the family's 1533-position model. The record is from RNAcentral.
AUUGAACGCUGGCGGCAAGCCUAACACAUGCAAGUCGACCGAGUGGCGGACGGGUGAGUAAUGUCUGGGAAACUGCCUGAUGGAGGGGGAUAACUACUGGAAACGGUAGCUAAUACCGCAUACCAUCGGAUGUUCCCAGAUGGGAUUAGCUAGUAGUGGGGGUAAAGCCACACGUAGGCGACGAGCCUUAGCUGGUCUUAGAGGAUGACCAGCCACUGUGGAGCUGAGAAACGGCCCAGACGCCUACGGGAGGCAGCAGUGGGGAAUUUUGCACAAGGGGGGCAAUCCUGAUGCAGCCAUGCCGCGUGUAUGAAGAAGGCCUUCGGGUUGUAAAGUACUUUCAGCAGGGAGGCGGUACCUGCAGAAGAAGCACCGGCUAACUCCGUGCCAGCCGCCGCGGUAAUAC